This 280-nucleotide ribosomal RNA is filed under the name uncultured crenarchaeote. Its description in RNAcentral is "partial 16S ribosomal RNA". It matches the Rfam family "Archaeal small subunit ribosomal RNA", at positions 548 to 827 of the family's 1478-position model. The record is from RNAcentral. Lineage: Archaea; Thermoproteati; Thermoproteota.
AAUCCAACGGCUUUAACCGUUGGCCUGCAGAAGAUACCGCUGGACUAGGAGGCGGGAGAGGUGGACGGUACUCYNNGUGUAGGGGUAAAAUCCUUUGAUCCGUGGAAGACCACCAGUGGCGAAGGCGGUCCACCAGAACGCGCUCGACGGUGAGGGAUGAAAGCUGGGGGAGCGAACCGGAUUAGAUACCCGGGUAGUCCCAGCUGUAAACGAUGCGAGCUAGGUGAYMCAAUSGCNWMUCGCCAUUGKAGUGUCGCAGGGAAGCCGUUAAGCUCGCCGC